This 445-nucleotide ribosomal RNA is filed under the name uncultured bacterium. RNAcentral describes it as "partial 16S ribosomal RNA". It matches the Rfam family "Bacterial small subunit ribosomal RNA", at positions 354 to 796 of the family's 1533-position model. The record is from RNAcentral.
GUGAGGAAUAUUGGACAAUGGGCGCAAGCCUGAUCCAGCCAUGCCGCGUGCAGGAAGACGCAUCUAUGGUGUGUAAACUGCUUUUGUACGGGAAGAAACACUCCCUCGUGAGGGAGCUUGACGGUACGGUAAGAAUAAGGAUCGGCUAACUCCGUGCCAGCAGCCGCGGUAAUACGGAGGAUCCAAGCGUUAGCCGGAAUCAUUGGGUUUAAAGGGUCCGUAGGCGGUUUAAUAAGUCAGUGGUGAAAGCCCAUCGCUCAACGAUGGAACGGCCAUUGAUACUGUUAGACUUGAAUUACAAGGAAGUAACUAGAAUAUGUAGUGUAGCGGUGAAAUGCUUAGAUAUUACAUGGAAUACCAAUUGCGAAGGCAGGUUACUACUUGUGGAUUGACGCUGAUGGACGAAAGCGUGGGGAGCGAACAGGAUUAGAAACCCGGGUAGUCC